ACUUUUAAAGGAAAGCAGUUAUCCAAUGGCCCUAGGGACCAGUAUUCU
RNAcentral lists this transfer RNA (48 nucleotides) under Brookesia antakarana. RNAcentral describes it as "partial tRNA-Leu". Lineage: Eukaryota; Metazoa; Chordata; Lepidosauria; Squamata; Chamaeleonidae. The record is from RNAcentral.